Molecule: ribosomal RNA, 275 nt
Filed under: uncultured bacterium
Lineage: Bacteria
Description: partial 16S ribosomal RNA
Rfam family: Bacterial small subunit ribosomal RNA
Source: RNAcentral
GUGCACCUACGGGACGCAGCAGUGGGGGAUAUUGCACAAUGGAGGAAACUCUGAUGCAGCGACGCCGCGUGAGAGAAGACGGUCUUCGGAUUGUAAACCUCUGUCUUUGGGGAAGAAAAUGACGGUACCCAAAGAGGAAGCUCCGGCUAACUACGUGCCAGCAGCCGCGGUGAUACGUAGGGAGCGAGCGUUGUCCGGAAUUACUGGGUGUAAAGGGAGCGUAGGCGGGCGAGAAAAUUGCAUGUUAAAUCUACAGGCUUAACUGGUAGCUGCGU